AAGUCGUAACAAGGUUUCCGUAGGUGAACCUGCGGAAGGAUCAUUCAUAAGCGAGUGUUUUUAUGGCACUCUUUAAAAAAAUCCAUAUCCACCUUGUGUGCAUUGUUUAAAUUGUUUUGUGGCAUGCCGAAAAAGAAUUCGUUUUUUUUUGGGCUGCUCAAAGGAAUUUUUAUACAUCAACUAUUUUUUUUAACAACCUUUGUCUGAAAAAUAUUACGAAUUACUUAAUUCAAAAUACAACUUUUAACAACGGAUCUCUUGGCUCUC
This 267-nucleotide unclassified non-coding RNA is filed under the name Mortierella sp. Its description in RNAcentral is "partial contains small subunit ribosomal RNA, internal transcribed spacer 1, and 5.8S ribosomal RNA". The stretch from base 1 to 46 matches the Rfam family "Eukaryotic small subunit ribosomal RNA", at positions 1786 to 1831 of the family's 1831-position model. Lineage: Eukaryota; Fungi; Mortierellomycota; Mortierellomycetes; Mortierellales; Mortierellaceae. The record is from RNAcentral.